RNAcentral lists this unclassified non-coding RNA (340 nucleotides) under Hevea brasiliensis (rubber tree). The record is from RNAcentral. Lineage: Eukaryota; Viridiplantae; Streptophyta; Magnoliopsida; Malpighiales; Euphorbiaceae.
UGCUAUGACUUGCAAACAAUAGAUGAAUCUUAACAAAGCACUUGUCAAUAUCAGCUUACAAAGAGAAGUCAUUUAAUGACCAUAAACUGACAGUCAAGAGGACUAUAAAACAAAGCAUUUAAUAAAUAAGCAGGACAACAAAUGAAAAAAUUCCAUCCAUUUUUAAAUAUAUGAAGUGUGUAGAUAAAAAUCCAAUGGCCCAAAGAAGAAAAGAUGCAAGGAACAUAAAUAAGCUGAACUCCUGCAUACAUUCAUAAAUGCAUCCAUAAAACAUAGCAACAGAAUAUAGACAUUGAAGCACAGAUAACCAGAAAGGACUUGGCCACAUAGGUGGUCUCAC